RNAcentral lists this ribosomal RNA (433 nucleotides) under uncultured bacterium. Its description in RNAcentral is "bacterial SSU rRNA". It matches the Rfam family "Bacterial small subunit ribosomal RNA", at positions 957 to 1391 of the family's 1533-position model. The record is from RNAcentral.
GAACGCGAAGAACCUUACCUACCCUUGACAUGCCAGGAAGCCCGCAGAGAUGUGGGUGUGCCCGAAAGGGAACCUGGACACAGGUGCUGCAUGGCUGUCGUCAGCUCGUGUCGUGAGAUGUUGGGUUAAGUCCCGCAACGAGCGCAACCCUUGCCAUUAGUUGCUACAUUCAGUUGGGCACUCUAAUGGGACCGCCGGUGACAAACCGGAGGAAGGUGGGGAUGACGUCAAGUCCUCAUGGCCCUUAUGGGUAGGCUUCACACGUAAUACAAUGGUCGGUACAGAGGGCUGCCAACCCGCAAGGGGGAGCUAAUCCCAGAAAGCCGAUCGUAGUCCGGAUUGUAGUCUGCAACUCGACUGCAUGAAGCCGGAAUCGCUAGUAAUCGCGGAUCAGCAUGUCGCGGUGAAUACGUUCCCGGGUCUUGUACACACC